UAAGCUGGCGGCGUUGCCUAAAUACAUGCAAGUCGAGCGGACGGAUGGGAGCUUGCUCCCAGACCGUCAGCGGCGGACGGGUGAGUAACACGUGGGCAACCUGCCUGUAAGACUGGGAUAACUCCGGGAAACCGGGGCUAAUACCGGAUAAUUCUUUUCCUCACAUGAGGAAAAGCUGAAAGAUGGCAUCUCGCUAUCACUUACAGAUGGGCCCGCGGCGCAUUAGCUAGUUGGUGAGGUAACGGCUCACCAAGGCGACGAUGCGUAGCCGACCUGAGAGGGUGAUCGGCCACACUGGGACUGAGACACGGCCCAGACUCCUACGGGAGGCAGCAGUAGGGAAUCUUCCGCAAUGGACGAAAGUCUGACGGAGCAACGCCGCGUGAGUGAUGAAGGUUUUCGGAUCGUAAAACUCUGUUGUCAGGGAAGAACAAGUACCGGAGUAACUGCCGGUACCUUGACGGUACCUGACCAGAAAGCCACGGCUAACUACGUGCCAGCAGCCGCGGUAAUACGUAGGUGGCAAGCGUUGUCCGGAAUUAUUGGGCGUAAAGCGCGCGCAGGCGGUUCCUUAAGUCUGAUGUGAAAGCCCCCGGCUCAACCGGG
RNAcentral lists this ribosomal RNA (606 nucleotides) under Bacillus sp. (in: firmicutes). Its description in RNAcentral is "bacterial SSU rRNA". It matches the Rfam family "Bacterial small subunit ribosomal RNA", at positions 32 to 617 of the family's 1533-position model. The record is from RNAcentral. Lineage: Bacteria; Bacillati; Bacillota; Bacilli; Caryophanales; Bacillaceae.